This is a long non-coding RNA of Bos taurus (domestic cattle), 386 nucleotides long. The record is from Ensembl. Lineage: Eukaryota; Metazoa; Chordata; Mammalia; Artiodactyla; Bovidae.
CUCUGUGCUAUCAGGGAGGCAGGCUGUGGAGAGGAGAGGCUGGAUGUGGUCAACACUGGAAAGAAGCUUUCAGGGAGACAACGCCAGGACCCUGCAGGAGAGAAACAAGAGGCUGGUGCUUUCAUAAUAAGGGGGUGGGACUCUUUACCAACUGAGCCACCAGGGAAGCCUGGCCAUCAGUAGGAGAUCUGCAUUCUGGGUGAGAACACAGAGACUCAAAGAAGUCAGCCAACUUUCCCAAGGCCUGAGUGCCCUAAGUGACUGAUCAAAGAUUGGAGACAAGCCGAGCUCCUUGCUACCUGGCCAAGGAGAAAUCAUGGAGCAGACUGGUUUUCAUACUGUGGGUUGUAAACAAUUUAUGGGUCAUGAAGAGUAUUCAGAGGUUA